This 729-nucleotide long non-coding RNA is filed under the name Felis catus (domestic cat). RNAcentral describes it as "lncRNA (ENSFCAG00000046999.1)". Lineage: Eukaryota; Metazoa; Chordata; Mammalia; Carnivora; Felidae. The record is from RNAcentral.
AGGUUUUUGCAAAUGAGCCCGGGGAACCAUUUCUAAUAGGAUUUCCGCGAGAAAAUGUUCCCAAAUUUUAAACAACCAUCAUGCAUAUAAUCCAUUCAUGAGAUAAAGACUUCCCUUGCUUCUCCUGCCCAACAUCCCUCUGGCUCUCUUCCGCAGGUCAAGUUCAUGGACUCCUAUUUCCUAGGUCAAGGGCGAGGGGCCCCUGGUGUGGCUUAGGCUGGGCCACUUGGAUCUGGAUCUACCUGGGCAAGUCUGAUGGACGGACUGCCGAGGCCAACAUGUGGUCCAGGGGCCCAGCGCUUCUGUCCAGCGCGGGACCCUUCUGCUAGUCGUCUGUGCUCCAGAACCCCAGCGAGCAGCUCCUGGAAUUCAUUAAUCCUGUCUCCUUAGAGGCCUUUCUCCCCCCUGGCAUAUCAAGGCAUGAAGAGCGAGAGAGUGUGGUUCUCACAUUAGCUGGAGCAAGGAGUGUCACGGCUUCCUGGCCUUUUUGUUUCAACGGGCCCACCUUCGUCUUCCAUCCAAACGUUAGGGAAAUCUUACAGACGGCCCCUUUCCGGUUUUGCCCUGAGUGGGUGUUCGUCCGCUCCAGGCUGGGCGAAUCCCCACGGAGCUUCAUUUUCUCCAUCUCCUCUAAUUCCCAGCUGAGGGGGGGCUGGCACCAGACGCAGACUAUGUGGCUUCCCGACACACCAAAGGCAGGAGCCGGGCUUGUUGGGUAACCGGACCGGU